AACCCAUGUUGAGGACAUUUCCGCAGGAGCUCCUUGAACCUAUCUCAUGUCUCAAAAAGUGACUACAAUUCCAUUUUCUUAAAAGAGGAUAUUUCAUUCCUAAGCUU
Small nucleolar RNA from Dioscorea cayenensis subsp. rotundata (Guinea yam), 107 nucleotides. The record is from RefSeq and is a predicted model, not a curated record. NCBI's taxonomy places the organism in Eukaryota, Viridiplantae, Streptophyta, Magnoliopsida, Dioscoreales, Dioscoreaceae.